This 309-nucleotide unclassified non-coding RNA is filed under the name plant metagenome. Its description in RNAcentral is "partial contains 5.8S ribosomal RNA, internal transcribed spacer 2, and large subunit ribosomal RNA". The stretch from base 1 to 105 matches the Rfam family "5.8S ribosomal RNA", at positions 50 to 154 of the family's 154-position model. The record is from RNAcentral.
GAAAUGCGAUAAGUAGUGUGAAUUGCAGAAUUCAGUGAAUCAUCGAAUCUUUGAACGCAUAUUGCGCCCCUUGGUAUUCCAUGGGGCAUGCCUGUUCGAGCGUCAUUUGUACCCUCAAGCUCUGCUUGGUGUUGGGUGUUUGUCCCGUCUCCGCGCGUGGACUCGCCCCAAAGUGAUUGACAGCCGGCGUACUGGUCCCGGAGCGCAGCACAUGUCGCGCAAACGAGUGCCUUGGUACGGCGGCGUCCAUAAGCCCCUCUCUCACGCUCUUGACCUCGGAUCAGGUAGGGAUACCCGCUGAACUUAAGC